UGGGUAACAGGAAAACAACCUCGUAGUGAAUCAUCCAGCGUCUUACAGUCCAACCCUUUGUCUCCGUCCCUGAACUCACCACAGCCGAGCAGCGUCUGUUCUCCCGCUGCCCUUCACUGUUCCACUGUGCUGAAGGAAACAUAUUCUGCUCCUAUUCAGGCCCCUCCCUCCCCGAUGAAGCCCAGUCUGCUCUGAUUGGCCAGCUGGCCGUUUCAAGGAGCGUAACUUGCCGCUUGCUUUUCUGCUGAAUGGAGAAACGGCGGCACGCGGAGUCAAACGGAUCGUCUCCGAGCCGGGGAAGUCGUCGUUCAUCAGGAGGACGAAUCAGAACGAGGUGGUGAAUGGAGACUUUAGCUGAGGUCAGGCCUCCUGGCCGAGGUGAUGAAUCGGCGGAGGCUUAUUAUCAACGUACAGUGUGGUGAUAUAAUCUCAACCUUUCCAUAAAUCCCAGCCUGUGUCCUUGGUAUAAAUUUUUACUGUACGCUGCAAAACUUGUGUGUGUGUGUGUGUGUGUGUGUGUGUGUGUGUGUGUGUGUGCGCGUGUGUUGGUGUGUUGGUGUGUUGGGCAACGGUUUGUAUUAUCAAGACGCGAGUGUGUUUGAGGUGAUUCCGCAUGUAGACGAGCUUCACACUCGAUAGGCACAACCUUUUUAAAAUGUGUCUGAUCGAUGUGAAUGUGUGGAUUUGGCUCUAAUCCGCCCCGAGCUCCAGUGAAUCUCUGGUCCUGAGCGGUUCAUCUGUGGGGCUCGUAGCUGGAGGGCGGCUGGUCAUCACACGCCCGCCUGCAGUUCCUCUUAAGUGGCCUGGCGUCAAAUCAUCUUUCCCCAAAAAAACCCCCAAAACUUCUCUCUCUGAAGAAAUCCGUGUGGAUAACCCUAACCCGUGGUCUCUGGAUCAACCCACCGCGACGUCGCCCGUCGGUCUUUGGGUUCACCUGCACCUGCGACCUAGCUGUCAAUCAUACGUCAUCCAAAACGGACAUCAAGCCGUAUUGGAUUCAGAGACGUCCAAGAGAAACCGACCGCUGGAGAACAAGUAGCCGGGCACUGGUUACCGGUGACCACGUCCUGACUCCGUCUGCAGCCGCUUGCAACAAAAACUCAGACUCCUGCUGUUUUCAUAUUUGAGGGAGAAAAUAACAGCAGGGAUAAAUUCCCCAGUGUAAUCCCUGCAGACACAGUGGGUCUUCCUGUUGCCUUCUCUACAACCCGAACAACCUUAGAUCUGAUGCAGGUUCACUUAUCAGGGGCUUACUUCCUGUCUUUCCCACUGCGGAACGGGAAACCUGGGGGACCUCAGCUUGUCCGAGUGGACCUAUUCAUUUUCCUCCAGUUGCUCCAUUUCAUACUUCUGCGACCGCCUCCCUGGAUAAAGAUCUUUUUAGAUUCCAUGUCAUGGCAGGAAAACAGGGACCCAAGGUUGUUUUGAAUCUUCAGCCACGACAGAAAUACUUACAAACAUCGUGUCAUCAAGACGUGAAGCAGCGAAGCUGAUUGCUGCUGAUUUGCUGAGUUUACAACAUUUGCAUCUUUUUUUUUUUUCGCUCUUCUACUUGUUUUCGGAGGGAUAAAGACUUUAAAUGAGCCAGAAAAGACGUUCUGCACGUCUCAAUCCUCUGAUUGGUUUACUUCAUGUUAGUGUAUUCCCAAAACACGCCCAUUAUUUCAGUAAUUAGGAGACUGUGUAGAACCACUGAGAACUAUGUACGUGCCAUUAUCUCAAAAAGUUGGUCUGGACACAUAAACUCUUUUUUUUUAAAUAGACGUACUCAUCGACGUCCUGAAACCAAGGCCUGCAGCCUGUCUUCUCUGUAAUGACCAGCAGAGGGCGACUCUGUGAGGAAGUGACUCUACUUCUUCUCACUUGAUUCAUAACGUCAGUAAAACUUUUUCCUGAGGAGUUUAUGGUUCAAUCUCUAGUUUCAAGUCUUCGUCAGUACAGCAGGAUGAAGCAUGAUCGGAGCGUGGAUACAGCGUGAUUGACAGCUGCUACCGUCCAAUCUGUCAGGCCACACCCCCCAAAAAACCCCAAGAUGACGCCGAAACUUGAGGCUUCGAAAAAGAAAAUCACAUCUACUCACAUCUUUGAAUUGACUUUGUACGUAAUCUAGACGCUUGAAUAACUUGUGUCGCAUUAGGCGUGGACGCACCAUUCCACUCUUCUCCCAGAUUUCCCCCGUUGUGGGACGAAUUAAGGAUUAUCUUGUCUCAUCUUUGUCAAUAACUUUUGCUACUCUAGCAACUCUACCUAUUUUGCACAACUAGUGGUCAGACGACAAGAGAACCAUCCCCGUCGCCAAGAGAACCAUCCCCGUCGUCAAGAGAACCAUCCCCGUCGUCAAGAGAACCAUCCCCGUCUUCAAGAGAACCAUCCCCGUCGUCAAGAGAAGAACCAUCCCCGUUGUCAAGAGAACCAUCCCCGUCGUCAAGAGAACCAUCCCCGUCGUCAAGAGAACCAUCCCCGUCGCCAAGAGAACCAUCCCCGUCGUCAAGAGAACCAUCGCCGUCGUCAAGAGAACCAUCCCCGUCGUCAAGAGAACCAUCCCCGUCGUCAAGAGAACCAUCCCCGUCGUCAAGAGAACCAUCCCCGUGUCUUGUGUGCGAUGAGCUUGUGUCUCAAAGUGCCUCAGGUGAUGCUGUGGGUACAAUGACAGUGUGAUGUGUUUGAGCUGUGAUUAAAAUCACAGAUUUUGAUUUUGAUUUUCACUCCAGUAGUUGCAACAUGGAUCAACGCGAGUGAAAUAACAACUUCCACGGAGUCGGACAGCUGAAGUUUGAAUCACCUCUGCUGCUACAAAUCCUCUUCUUCGUCUGUCCGACGUAAUCGCAGAACUCGUCUCACAGCGCCGGAUGCCUGGAUGAGCUCCGGAGGCCGAAUGUGACAGACACAAACUGGAAGAUGAGAGCUGAGGAGCAGAGCUUCCAUCGGCCGACUUUCGCAAAAUUGCCCCACAUCUCCAUCGGCAGAUUCAGAAUAAACAUGAUAUGUAUCAUUAAUACAGUUUAUAACCGAAAAAACAUUAAAGUGAUAAAUGAAGUCUGUUA
Molecule: long non-coding RNA, 3044 nt
Organism: Scophthalmus maximus (turbot)
Lineage: Eukaryota; Metazoa; Chordata; Actinopteri; Pleuronectiformes; Scophthalmidae
Exons: 4
Source: RefSeq, a predicted model, not a curated record